Molecule: ribosomal RNA, 291 nt
Filed under: uncultured prokaryote
Description: partial 16S ribosomal RNA
Rfam family: Bacterial small subunit ribosomal RNA
Source: RNAcentral
GUGUCAGCCGCCGCGGUAAUACGUAGGGGGCUAGCGUUGUCCGGAAACACUGGGCGUAAAGGGUUCGCGGGCGGCAAUGCAAGUCAGAUGUAAAAGGCAAAGGCUCAACCUUUGUAAGCAUCUGAAACUGUAUAGCUUGAGAAGUGUAGAGGCAAGUGGAAUUUUUAGUGUAGCGGUGAAAUGCGUAGAUAUUAAAAAGAAUACCGGUGGCGAAGGCGACUUGCUGGGCACAAUCUGACGCUGAGGAACGAAAGCGUGGGGAGCAAACAGGAUUAGAAACCCCAGUAGUCC